GUGCUCGCUUUGGCAGUGCAUAGACUAAAACUGGAACGACACAGAGAAGAUGAGCAGGGCACCU
Small nuclear RNA from Cercocebus atys (sooty mangabey), 64 nucleotides. The record is from Ensembl. Lineage: Eukaryota; Metazoa; Chordata; Mammalia; Primates; Cercopithecidae.